CCUACGGGAGGCUGCAGUGGGGAAUAUUGGACAAUGGGCGAAAGCCUGAUCCAGCCAUGCCGCGUGUGUGAAGAAGGCCUUCGGGUUGUAAAGCACUUUCAGUGGGGAAGAAAGCCUUGUGGCUAAUACCCUCGAGGAAGGACAUCACCCACAGAAGAAGCACCGGCUAACUCCGUGCCAGCAGCCGCGGUAAUACGGAGGGUGCGAGCGUUAAUCGGAAUUACUGGGCGUAAAGCGCGCGUAGGCGGUCUGAUAAGCCGGUUGUGAAAGCCCCGGGCUCAACCUGGGAACGGCAUCCGGAACUGUCAGGCUAGAGUGCAGGAGAGGAAGGUAGAAUUCCCGGUGUAGCAGUGAAAUGCGUAGAGAUCGGGAGGAAUACCAGUGGCGAAGGCGGCCUUCUGGACUGACACUGACGCUGAGGUGCGAAAGCGUGGGUAGCAAACAGGAUUAGAUACCCGAGUAGUC
This 465-nucleotide ribosomal RNA is filed under the name Vreelandella stevensii. Its description in RNAcentral is "partial 16S ribosomal RNA". It matches the Rfam family "Bacterial small subunit ribosomal RNA", at positions 338 to 795 of the family's 1533-position model. Lineage: Bacteria; Pseudomonadati; Pseudomonadota; Gammaproteobacteria; Oceanospirillales; Halomonadaceae. The record is from RNAcentral.